UCUUCGCUCAAAAAUAUCUCCCCGCGUGGAUUGCUAGGGUUGUCGCCGCCGCCGCCGCCGCCGCCGCCUCACCCCUGUUGGUCCAUCACUGGAGAAGGGAGAAGGUGAACAGGAGAAGAUGCAGGGUGGCCUCGCCGGAGCGCCGAUGGCCAUGGAGGACGACCAGCUGGCCUCCAUGUCCACGGAGGACGUCGUCCGAGCAUCCUGCCUCCUCGACAACGUGAUCCACGUCCUCAUGCCCCUCGUCGAGUAGCUGUGCCGUGAGGGUGCUUGCCUCUGAAGCCCCAUCCAUUCAGAAGGAUGAGGAGAUCCGACACCAGCCACGCACCAGCUUGUGUGUAGGUCUCGUGGAGAUGAGAAGCUGCUCCGGUCCCAUCUUCUGAAGGAGGAUGCCCACCAUCCAAGGUGCUCAACAUCACCAUCGUCUGUUGCCUGCAAGGACACACAUAACCAAGAAGUGUUGCCUUUACUGAAGCUUCUUGACUCAAAAAAUGGUUCUCUGUAACAUAAUCCCGCGUUUGUUCUUUACGGAGUUGCGAACAAUGAGG
Triticum aestivum (bread wheat) is the source of this 548-nucleotide long non-coding RNA. RefSeq lists it as uncharacterized. Lineage: Eukaryota; Viridiplantae; Streptophyta; Magnoliopsida; Poales; Poaceae. The record is from RefSeq and is a predicted model, not a curated record. The transcript has 4 exons.